CCUACGGGAGGCAGCAGUGGGGAAUAUUGCGCAAUGGACGAAAGCCUGACGCAGCGACGCCGCGUGAGGGAUGAAGGUCUUCGGAUCGUAAACCUCUGUCAGCAGGGAAGAACGGUCACUGUGCUAAUCAGCAGUGAAUUGACGGUACCUGCAAAGGAAGCACCGGCUAACUCCGUGCCAGAAGCAGCGGUAAUACGGAGGGUGCGGGCGUUAAACGGAAUUACUGGGCGAAAAGCGCUCGUAGGCGGUAUGUCAAGUCAAGGGUGAAGUCCCGCGCUGAAAGUCGGAACUGCCAUUGAAACUGGCAAACUGGAGUGUGUGAGAGGAUAGUGGAAUUCCAGGUGUAGGAGUGAAAUCCGUAGAUAUCUGGAGGAACAUCAGUGGCGAAGGCGACUAUCUGGCACAUAACUGACGCUGAGGAGCGAAAGCGUGGGUAGCAAACAGGAUUAGAUACCCGGGUAGUC
This 464-nucleotide ribosomal RNA is filed under the name uncultured bacterium. RNAcentral describes it as "partial 16S ribosomal RNA". It matches the Rfam family "Bacterial small subunit ribosomal RNA", at positions 338 to 795 of the family's 1533-position model. The record is from RNAcentral.